GCAUUCGUGGUUCAGGGGUAGAAUUCCCGCCUACCAUGCGGGAGACCCGGGUUCAAAUCCCGGCCAGUGCA
Non-coding RNA from Amblyraja radiata (thorny skate), 71 nucleotides. NCBI's taxonomy places the organism in Eukaryota, Metazoa, Chordata, Chondrichthyes, Rajiformes, Rajidae. The record is from the annotation of a RefSeq genome assembly.